AGGUCUCAACCCGGUACGGAAUUAGACCCAGCCCAUUGUAGUCUAGAAAGUAGUUCUUUAAAAUUAUGAAAUGGCCCAAUUUAAGUCAUCUCUAGUUAGAUUGUUCAUAAUUAAAGUGUAUUUAUUGCAUGUGUGUAGUUUUUGUGUGUUAUAUGAUGACUUUAAAAGUUGUUUUUUGUGUAUUCUCCAGGAACUCAUUUGUUGGUGGAAGGAUUAAAGAUGUACUACCCACCAGCUGUCAGGAGUUUUUAAAGUGGUGAAUUUAAACAGUGUUACAACAGAAUGAAGAUUUCUGAAAAAAGUAGAUGGCUAACCUAUUAUAUUUUGGGCAUCAUUUGACUUAGAUAGUUUUAAUGUAUAAAGUUGAAGACAGUAUAUAAUUCAUCAAGAACAUUGGAAUCCAGAAUUAAACCUCAAAUUUGACUGAUUUACUAUAGAACUAAUAGUACGAAAAUUCACCGGGCCGAGUCCAAGAUAAGAAAUGUCAAAAAUGGGAACUGGUUGAUGGAUAUGGAUGAAACUUUGCAUCAGUGUUGUGUUUAUGAAUAGAAGUCAGGAAAAUAAAGGAUUACUGACAGACCAUGCAGUUGCCAAAGCCUGGGUUUGAGUAUAUGACCUUACCUUAUCCUGGUCAAGAUCUAUAGAAGGACUCCUUCAGCUCUGUUUGGCAGCAGCUUUGUCAGGACACAUUGAGAAGGAACUCAUUUGUUGGUGGAAGGAUUAAAGAUGUACUACCCACCAGCUGUCAGGAGUUUUUAAAGUGGUGAAUUUAAACAGUGUUACAACAGAAUGAAGAUUUCUGAAAAAAGUAGAUGGCUAACCUAUUAUAUUUUGGGCAUCAUUUGACUUAGAUAGUGUUAAUGUAUAAAGUUGAAGACAGUAUAUAAUUCAUCAAGAACAUUGGAAUCCAGAAUUAAACCUCAAAUUUGACUGAUUUACUAUAGAACUAAUAGUACGAAAAUUCACCGGGCCGAGUCCGAAAUAAUUUU
Molecule: long non-coding RNA, 989 nt
Organism: Ruditapes philippinarum (Manila clam)
Lineage: Eukaryota; Metazoa; Mollusca; Bivalvia; Venerida; Veneridae
Exons: 3
Source: RefSeq, a predicted model, not a curated record